Molecule: unclassified non-coding RNA, 703 nt
Filed under: Hevea brasiliensis (rubber tree)
Lineage: Eukaryota; Viridiplantae; Streptophyta; Magnoliopsida; Malpighiales; Euphorbiaceae
Source: RNAcentral
AUGCACAAACCCUCUAGCUCUCCCAGACGAGUCACUAGUCAUAAAGAGUUUCCUUUUUCAUUCUUUCUAAAGAAGAUUAAUUAAUAUUAAAUCGGAGAAGCUAUGAAGAAGAGGCAGCAGCAACCGCAGGAAAAGGACAGCUCCAGGGAGCAUUGCAACCACCAAUACCACCAGCAGCAGAUGCAGAAGCAGAAGCAGAUACAAUGCAAUAAAGCCAAAGUCUGCAAGUUCAAGAGAAGCAGCUCCAAUCUUGAAGAUGAUGGUGCUUCCUCUGCUAUUCUCUUGCUCGCUUGUAUUGCCUGCACUCCCCCUUAUUGAUGCGCAAAUCUCUGAUAUUAAUUAAAUCAAAUCACCUAUAGAUAGUUCAAGUCUCUCUCCCUGUUUGUAAAAUAGUUUUAUCACUUCAUCACCCUUCUUUAUUACGACUAAUAUAGCUAGCAAUAGCAUAUAUUCUUUGUACUGGUAGCACGUACGCUCUUCCCUUCCUGAUAGGCUUAAUCCCAUCUUCUCUGCUGUAACCAGUAAUCUCUACCCCUAUCUUCAUCAGUAUCAAUCUGUUUAAUUCUACUGUGUUGCAACAAUGCACAUUGAUGUAUGAUCGAGCAUUUCGCUUCACAUUUCUAGUUCCAAUUCUAAUGGUACUCUUCUUCCAUUAAAGAAUCUGUUAAUUGUGCAAAUGGGAUUAAUAUUAAAUAAAAAAAAA